RNAcentral lists this ribosomal RNA (324 nucleotides) under uncultured eukaryote. RNAcentral describes it as "partial 18S ribosomal RNA". It matches the Rfam family "Eukaryotic small subunit ribosomal RNA", at positions 1470 to 1796 of the family's 1831-position model. The record is from RNAcentral.
CCCUUAGAUGUUCUGGGUCGCACGCGCGCUACACUGAUGCGAUCAACAAGUUUUUCCUAUGUCGAUAGACACGGGUAAUCUUUUGAACUCGCAUCGUGAUGGGGAUAGAUUAUUGUAAUUAUUAAUCUUCAACGAGGAAUUCCUAGUAGGUGCAAAUCAUCAGUUUGCAUCGAUUACGUCCCUGCCCUUUGUACACACCGCCCGUCGCUGCUACCGAUUGGUUGAUCUGGUGAAUUAUUCGGACUGCCGGCUGAAGGGGUUUCCUCAUCUGCCAGCGGAAAGUCUUGUUAACCCUAUCAACUAGAGGAAGCAGAAGUCGUAACA